CGCCACGGGAAUACCAGCUCCCCGAGUGGUGGGGACGGAUUAUUUGGUCCUAAAGACGUCCGUAGCCGGCUCUGCAAGUCUCCCGUCAAAUACCAACGAUCUAAUCGUUGGGGCUGCGGGAGAUACUGUAGAGCUAGGGGUGGGAGAAGCUGACGGUACUCUCGGGGUAGGGGUGAAAUCCUAUAAUCCCGAGAGGACCACCAGUGGCGAAGGC
This 214-nucleotide ribosomal RNA is filed under the name uncultured archaeon. RNAcentral's name for it is "partial 16S ribosomal RNA". It matches the Rfam family "Archaeal small subunit ribosomal RNA", at positions 463 to 673 of the family's 1478-position model. The record is from RNAcentral.